This 1489-nucleotide ribosomal RNA is filed under the name Lactiplantibacillus plantarum. RNAcentral describes it as "bacterial SSU rRNA". It matches the Rfam family "Bacterial small subunit ribosomal RNA". Lineage: Bacteria; Bacillati; Bacillota; Bacilli; Lactobacillales; Lactobacillaceae. The record is from RNAcentral.
GACGAACGCUGGCGGCGUGCCUAAUACAUGCAAGUCGAACGAACUCUGGUAUUGAUUGGUGCUUGCAUCAUGAUUUACAUUUGAGUGAGUGGCGAACUGGUGAGUAACACGUGGGAAACCUGCCCAGAAGCGGGGGAUAACACCUGGAAACAGAUGCUAAUACCGCAUAACAACUUGGACCGCAUGGUCCGAGUUUGAAAGAUGGCUUCGGCUAUCACUUUUGGAUGGUCCCGCGGCGUAUUAGCUAGAUGGUGGGGUAACGGCUCACCAUGGCAAUGAUACGUAGCCGACCUGAGAGGGUAAUCGGCCACAUUGGGACUGAGACACGGCCCAAACUCCUACGGGAGGCAGCAGUAGGGAAUCUUCCACAAUGGACGAAAGUCUGAUGGAGCAACGCCGCGUGAGUGAAGAAGGGUUUCGGCUCGUAAAACUCUGUUGUUAAAGAAGAACAUAUCUGAUAGUAACUGUUCAGGUAUUGACGGUAUUUAACCAGAAAGCCACGGCUAACUACGUGCCAGCAGCCGCGGUAAUACGUAGGUGGCAAGCGUUGUCCGGAUUUAUUGGGCGUAAAGCGAGCGCAGGCGGUUUUUUAAGUCUGAUGUGAAAGCCUUCGGCUCAACCGAAGAAGUGCAUCGGAAACUGGGAAACUUGAGUGCAGAAGAGGACAGUGGAACUCCAUGUGUAGCGGUGAAAUGCGUAGAUAUAUGGAAGAACACCAGUGGCGAAGGCGGCUGUCUGGUCUGUAACUGACGCUGAGGCUCGAAAGUAUGGGUAGCAAACAGGAUUAGAUACCCUGGUAGUCCAUACCGUAAACGAUGAAUGCUAAGUGUUGGAGGGUUUCCGCCCUUCAGUGCUGCAGCUAACGCAUUAAGCAUUCCGCCUGGGGAGUACGGCCGCAAGGCUGAAACUCAAAGGAAUUGACGGGGGCCCGCACAAGCGGUGGAGCAUGUGGUUUAAUUCGAAGCUACGCGAAGAACCUUACCAGGUCUUGACAUACUAUGCAAAUCUAAGAGAUUAGACGUUCCCUUCGGGGACAUGGAUACAGGUGGUGCAUGGUUGUCGUCAGCUCGUGUCGUGAGAUGUUGGGUUAAGUCCCGCAACGAGCGCAACCCUUAUUAUCAGUUGCCAGCAUUAAGUUGGGCACUCUGGUGAGACUGCCGGUGACAAACCGGAGGAAGGUGGGGAUGACGUCAAAUCAUCAUGCCCCUUAUGACCUGGGCUACACACGUGCUACAAUGGAUGGUACAACGAGUUGCGAACUCGCGAGAGUAAGCUAAUCUCUUAAAGCCAUUCUCAGUUCGGAUUGUAGGCUGCAACUCGCCUACAUGAAGUCGGAAUCGCUAGUAAUCGCGGAUCAGCAUGCCGCGGUGAAUACGUUCCCGGGCCUUGUACACACCGCCCGUCACACCAUGAGAGUUUGUAACACCCAAAGUCGGUGGGGUAACCUUUUAGGAACCAGCCGCCUAAGGUGGGACAGAUGAUUAGGGUG